This is a non-coding RNA of Meleagris gallopavo (turkey), 1136 nucleotides long. The record is from RefSeq and is a predicted model, not a curated record. Lineage: Eukaryota; Metazoa; Chordata; Aves; Galliformes; Phasianidae.
GAAUUGCUUGUUUCUUUGUUUUGUUUCCACACUUCAGUCCUUCAUGCCAUGAAAGAGGAUAGCGAGAAAGUGCCAAGUUUGUUAACAGACUAUAUUUUAAAGGUUCUGUGUCCUACGUGAAGAGGGCUGCCUUUCAGAAUUAACUGUGUUCCUUCCUAUGAUGAGAAGCUUUCCAUGGAAAUAACUCAUAGUAUUUUCUUCCAUUUGGUACUAUACCUAAACCAGUACCCAUUUACCUCCUUUGUGUGUGCGUGGAUUUUCUGAUCCUACAUUAAGUCUUCUCAGCAUGACAACUCAUCCAUUCUAACCUAAUAGUGCAAUGAACUGGAGCAGGGAACAAAAACUGUACAGUUUUACUCGCAUUGUUCUGGCUUUUUAAAGUCUCUUUUUACACUGUAUAGCAUGUAAAUCCUCCUGCACAUUUUGUUGUGGGAAGGAAAAGUAAACUUUGAAUAGUGUAAAUAACAUAAGCCUAAUUGUAAGGAAUCCAUAUUUAAAGCAUCCUUAGUUCCUAUGGCAAAAAUGUAAAAAGAAUUGUCAUUGUACAGACCCGACAAAACGAUUCAGAUGAAUUCUUCAGGAAGCACUCUGGGACAGUGCUGGUGGACGUUUGCUUUCAACAGUUCUUUUAAACAUUAACUUUGAGCUAUACAACAGAAAUGUUCACAGAGUGAACAAAUCCUUAUUCUUUAAUGGUUUGGCAUAAGUAAUUGGUGUGUUACUUAUCUUUGUUAUCUAACAUAAACAUCAGAGUAAUGUAAUUUUUCAUAUUUAAUUGCUGUUUUUAUUUUAAUUGUUAAUGUUUAUGUGGCUCAGAUAUUCUCUCAUAUUGCUGCUAUAAUUUUACUGGUUUUAAUACGUGUUUGAUCUUAAUGAAUAUGAUUAAGUAAAUAAACAUUUUGAAAGGCUAUAUCUUUUUAAAAAUACAUGUACAGUUUGGAAAAAACUUGCACCUGGGUUCCAAGUUAGUAUUAUAUCAAGACUUCGGUCAUUGUGUAUCUCUGAACUUUACUACAAAUCUUUCUUGUAUGCUAUGUGAUGAUGUAUCUGCAUUCAAACAGAUGAGAAUGUAUUUUGCAAAUCCUGUAAAAGAAACAUACCCUGUGAUCUCCAUAUUAAAUAUUUGCCACAAAUCA